RNAcentral lists this ribosomal RNA (628 nucleotides) under uncultured Ascomycota. RNAcentral's name for it is "partial 18S ribosomal RNA". The stretch from base 201 to 354 matches the Rfam family "5.8S ribosomal RNA". Lineage: Eukaryota; Fungi; Ascomycota. The record is from RNAcentral.
ACCAGCGGAGAGAUCAUUAUCGAGUUUAUCCAUCUCCCAACCAUAUGUGAACCUACCUUUAUGUUGCUUCGGCGGUCUCGCGCCGGGCUGCUCCCCUAGGGGGCUCCCGAGACCACGCGUCCGCCGGAGACCACAAACUCUUGAUUUUGCGAAAGCAGUAUUAUUCUGAGUGGCCGAAAGGCAAAAAACAAAUGAAUCAAAACUUUCAACAACGGAUCUCUUGGUUCUGGCAUCGAUGAAGAACGCAGCGAAAUGCGAUAAGUAAUGUGAAUUGCAGAAUUCAGUGAAUCAUCGAAUCUUUGAACGCACAUUGCGCCCGCCAGCAUUCUGGCGGGCAUGCCUGUUCGAGCGUCAUUUCAACCCUCGAGCUCGUCUUCAUUGACGAGAUCGGUGUUGGGACCCGGCGAGCGGGGGACUCACGUCCCUCUGCCGGUCCCGAAAUUCAGUGGCGGCCCGUUGCGGCGACCUCUGCGUAGUAACUUAACCUCGCACUGGGACAGCAGCGCGGCCACGCCGUAAAACCCCCGACUUUUUUAAGGUUGACCUCGAAUCAGGUAGGACUACCCGCUGAACUUAAGCAUAUCAAUAAGCGGAGGAAAAGAAACCAACAGGGAUUGCCUCAGUAACG